This 407-nucleotide ribosomal RNA is filed under the name uncultured bacterium. RNAcentral's name for it is "partial 16S ribosomal RNA". It matches the Rfam family "Bacterial small subunit ribosomal RNA", at positions 360 to 774 of the family's 1533-position model. The record is from RNAcentral.
AAUAUUGCGCAAUGGAGGGAACUCUGACGCAGCGACGCCGCGUGAGCGAUGAAGGUCGUCGGAUCGUAAAGCUCUGUCCUUGGGGAAGAAGGUCUUCGGACUUCACGGUAACUAAGGAGGAGGCCGCGGUUAACUACGUGCCAGCAGCCGCGGUAAUACGUAGGGGGCAAGCGUUGUCCGGAAUUAUUGGGCGUAAAGGGUGCGUAGGCGGACUAUUAAGUCAGAUGUGAAGGCCCACGGCUUAACCGUGGGACUGCAUUUGAAACUGGAGGGCUUGAGUAUCGGAGAGGGUAGUGGAAUUCCCAGUGUAGCGGUGGAAUGCGUAGAUAUUGGGAGGAACACCAGUGGCGAAGGCGACUACCUGGACGAAAACUGACGCUGAGGCACGAAAGCUAGGGGAGCAAACA